UGCUGGAGGUAUCAGAAGUGCGAAUGCUGACAUAAGUAACGAUAAAGCGGGUGAAAAGCCCGCUCGCCGGAAGACCAAGGGUUCCUGUCCAACGUUAAUCGGGGCAGGGUGAGUCGACCCCUAAGGCGAGGCCGAAAGGCGUAGUCGAUGGGAAACGGGUUAAUAUUCCCGUACUUGGUGUUACUGCGAAGGGGGGACGGAGAAGGCUAUGUUGGCCGGGCGACGGUUGUCCCGGUUUAAGCGUGUAGGUGUGUGUUCCAGGUAAAUCCGGUUCACUUUAACACUGAGGCGUGAUGACGAGGCACUACGGUGCUGAAGCAACAAAUGCCCUGCUUCCAGGAAAAGCCUCUAAGCAUCAGGUAACAUCAAAUCGUACCCCAAACCGACACAGGUGGUCAGGUAGAGAAUACCAAGGCGCUUGAGAGAACUCGGGUGAAGGAACUAGGCAAAAUGGUGCCGUAACUUCGGGAGAAGGCACGCUGACAUGUAGGUGAAGUGAUUUACUCAUGGAGCUGAAGUCAGUCGAAGAUACCAGCUGGCUGCAACUGUUUAUUAAAAACACAGCACUGUGCAAACACGAAAGUGGACGUAUACGGUGUGACGCCUGCCCGGUGCCGGAAGGUUAAUUGAUGGGGUCAGCGCAAGCGAAGCUCCUGAUCGAAGCCCCGGUAAACGGCGGCCGUAACUAUAACGGUCCUAAGGUAGCGAAAUUCCUUGUCGGGUAAGUUCCGACCUGCACGAAUGGCGUAAUGAUGGCCAGGCUGUCUCCACCCGAGACUCAGUGAAAUUGAACUCGCUGUGAAGAUGCAGUGUACCCGCGGCAAGACGGAAAGACCCCGUGAACCUUUACUAUAGCUUGACACUGAACAUUGAGCCUUGAUGUGUAGGAUAGGUGGGAGGCUUUGAAGCGUGGACGCCAGUCUGCGUGGAGCCGACCUUGAAAUACCACCCUUUAAUGUUUGAUGUUCUAACGUGGACCCGUGAUCCGGGUUGCGGACAGUGUCUGGUGGGUAGUUUGACUGGGGCGGUCUCCUCCUAAAGAGUAACGGAGGAGCACGAAGGUUGGCUAAUCCUGGUCGGACAUCAGGAGGUUAGUGCAAUGGCAUAAGCCAGCUUGACUGCGAGCGUGACGGCGCGAGCAGGUGCGAAAGCAGGUCAUAGUGAUCCGGUGGUUCUGAAUGGAAGGGCCAUCGCUCAACGGAUAAAAGGUACUCCGGGGAUAACAGGCUGAUACCGCCCAAGAGUUCAUAUCGACGGCGGUGUUUGGCACCUCGAUGUCGGCUCAUCACAUCCUGGGGCUGAAGUAGGUCCCAAGGGUAUGGCUGUUCGCCAUUUAAAGUGGUACGCGAGCUGGGUUUAGAACGUCGUGAGACAGUUCGGUCCCUAUCUGCCGUGGGCGCUGGAGAACUGAGGGGGGCUGCUCCUAGUACGAGAGGACCGGAGUGGACGCAUCACUGGUGUUCGGGUUGUCAUGCCAAUGGCACUGCCCGGUAGCUAAAUGCGGAAGAGAUAAGUGCUGAAAGCAUCUAAGCACGAAACUUGCCCCGAGAUGAGUUCUCCCUGAGACUUAGAGUCUCCUGAAGGAACGUUGAAGACGACGACGUUGAUAGGCCGGGUGUGUAAGCGCAGCGAUGCGUUGAGCUAACCGGUACUAAUGAACCGUGAGGCUUAACCUUACAACGCCGAAG
RNAcentral lists this ribosomal RNA (1688 nucleotides) under Salmonella enterica subsp. enterica serovar Infantis. RNAcentral's name for it is "bacterial LSU rRNA". It matches the Rfam family "Bacterial large subunit ribosomal RNA", at positions 1271 to 2925 of the family's 2925-position model. Lineage: Bacteria; Pseudomonadati; Pseudomonadota; Gammaproteobacteria; Enterobacterales; Enterobacteriaceae. The record is from RNAcentral. RNAcentral also lists the same sequence under 1 other name.